Molecule: unclassified non-coding RNA, 287 nt
Filed under: Pichia cactophila
Lineage: Eukaryota; Fungi; Ascomycota; Pichiomycetes; Pichiales; Pichiaceae
Description: sequence contains 18S rRNA gene, ITS1, 5.8S rRNA gene, ITS2, 28S rRNA gene
Rfam family: 5.8S ribosomal RNA (bases 99-251)
About the family: 5.8S ribosomal RNA (5.8S rRNA) is a component of the large subunit of the eukaryotic ribosome. It is transcribed by RNA polymerase I as part of the 45S precursor that also contains 18S and 28S rRNA.
Source: RNAcentral
GAUCAUUACUGUGAUUUUAACAUCUUUACACUGCGUGAGCGCACAACAACACCUAAACAUGAAUACUUACUAGUCACUAAGAAAUCUAAAAGAAAUAAAACUUUCAACAACGGAUCUCUUGGUUCUCGCAUCGAUGAAGAGCGCAGCGAAAUGCGAUACCUAGUGUGAAUUGCAGCCAUCGUGAAUCAUCGAGUUCUUGAACGCACAUUGCGCCCUCCGGCAUUCCGGGGGGCAUGCCUGUUUGAGCGUCGUUUCCUUCUUGCGCAAGCAGAGUUGGGGUUGUCACC